Molecule: long non-coding RNA, 344 nt
Organism: Sycon ciliatum
Lineage: Eukaryota; Metazoa; Porifera; Calcarea; Leucosolenida; Sycettidae
Exons: 6
Source: RefSeq, a predicted model, not a curated record
UCCAGCUGCACAACGAGAUGAGGGUGGUCAUUGUCAUUUUCUGAGCUGUGAACGAGCAGGAAGCUGCACAACGAGAUGAGGCUGGUCAUUGUCAUUUUCUGAGCUGUGAACGGGCAGGAAGCUGCACAAGGAGAUGAGGCUGGUCAUUGUCAUUUUCUGAGCUGUGAACGGGCAGGAAGCUGCACAAGGAGAUGAGGCUGGUCAUUGUCAUUUUCUGAGAUGUGAACGGGCAGGAAGCAUCACAACGAGAUGAGGCUGGUCAUUGUCAUUUUCUGAGCUGUGAACGGGCAGGAAGCUUCACAACGAGAUGAGGCUGGUCAUUGUCAUUUUCUGAGCUGUGAACG